UGCGAAUGGCUCAUUAAAUCAGUUAUCGUUUAUUUGAUAGUACCUUACUACUUGGAUAACCGUGGUAAUUCUAGAGCUAAUACAUGCUGAAAACCCCAACUUCGGGAGGGGUGUAUUUAUUAGAUAAAAAACCAACGCCCUUCGGGGCUUCUUGGUGAUUCAUGAUAACUUUACGGAUCGCAUGGNCCUUGCGCCGGCGACGGUUCAUUCAAAUUUCUGCCCUAUCAACUUUCGAUGGUAAGGUAUUGGCUUACCAUGGUUUCAACGGGUAACGGGGAAUUAGGGUUCGAUUCCGGAGAGGGAGCCUGAGAAACGGCUACCACAUCCAAGGAAGGCAGCAGGCGCGCAAAUUACCCAAUCCCGACACGGGGAGGUAGUGACAAUAAAUACUGAUACAGGGCUCUUUUGGGUCUUGUAAUUGGAAUGAGUACAAUUUAAACCUCUUAACGAGGAACAAUUGGAGGGCAAGUCUGGUGCCAGCAGCCGCGGUAAUUCCAGCUCCAAUAGCGUAUAUUAAAGUUGUUGCAGUUAAAAAGCUCGUAGUUGAAACUUGGGCCUGGCUGGCAGGUCCGCCUCACCGCGUGUACUUGUCCGGCCGGGCCUUCCUUCUGGAGAACCUCAUGCCCUUCACUGGGCGUGUUGGGGACCAGGACUUUUACUUUGAAAAAAUUAGAGUGUUCAAAGCAGGCCUUUGCUCGAAUACGUUAGCAUGGAAUAAUAGAAUAGGACGUGCGGUCCUAUUUUGUUGGUUUCUAGGACCGCCGUAAUGAUUAAUAGGGACAGUCGGGGGCAUCAGUAUUCAAUUGUCAGAGGUGAAAUUCUUGGAUUUAUUGAAGACUAACUACUGCGAAAGCAUUUGCCAAGGAUGUUUUCAUUAAUCAGUGAACGAAAGUUAGGGGAUCGAAGACGAUCAGAUACCGUCGUAGUCUUAACCGUAAACUAUGCCGACUAGGGAUCGGGCGAUGUUCUUUUUCUGACUCGCUCGGCACCUUACGAGA
Molecule: ribosomal RNA, 998 nt
Filed under: Paraepicoccum amazonense
Lineage: Eukaryota; Fungi; Ascomycota; Dothideomycetes; Pleosporales
Description: SSU rRNA
Rfam family: Eukaryotic small subunit ribosomal RNA
Source: RNAcentral